GGGGAGUCGUGACUCGUGACAGAGAGCUUAGAGAGAGAAGGCGAGACAGGAAGGAGAGAGAGAGAGAGAGAGAGAGGAUGGAGGUUAUGGAGGAGCAAGCUAGCGCCUUUGAGUAGUGGUUACUAACUUACUACUCCGUCAGAAUUUUUUUUUCCGUUUCUGGUGUAAACUUUCCGGCGAGAAUUCCGGUUUUCCCGGCGGUCUCACCGUUUGCUGCUUUCUCCCGUAACUUUCCGCUUCGGGGCGAAACUAUUUCGGAUGGCCCGACUGGAAAUAGUCGUUUGAGCCCCAAAAGUCCCAAUUUUGCUGCACCAUCCAUAGUCCCUUUUGAUUUUAUCAAUGUCAAGAUAUUUUUAAUCUUGUGAGAUUUUUGUUUUGUUUUUUAAUCAAACAAUUUGUCUGCUUUUUUUGGACUUUUGGAGGAUUGAAUAGUCCCAAAAUGUAUGAAAAGUUUUGAUUUUUUAAGAGGAUUUUUCGGGGCUGGAAUCAAGUUAAUGAGAAAGUUAGGUGAGGGAAUGAUUUGAUGAUCCAACUAGUUGAAGGGAUGGGUUGAUGAUUGAAGUAGUCUUCUGUUUUAAUGAUACUUUUGUUGGUAGUACUUUGAUGUAUCUUUGCCCAUUAUUUGCCCACCGAUGAAUUGUUUAAUUUUUUUGUUUUAUUCGUGCAAGCCAGUUUAAGUUCCUCCUAUUUUGGAGCUUGAAUUUCAAUAAAUUUCCGUUGAAUUCUAUUCAUAUGUAUUGAUAAUCCGAAGACGAGAAGAAAUGGCUGUUUCCUUGUCUCGUUUCUCAUGGUGGUUGUGGGGUGGGAAGGAGAAGGGAGAGUCCUUAGCAGCUAAAGGGUCUUCGGUAAAUUCUUUGCAAGAUUGGGGGCCAGGGUUCAGGGAGCAAGCAGAGACUGUGAAAUUCUGGUCUGUGAGCCCUUCAACUAGGAAGGUGAAGAGGAAAUGGAAUAGUAGGGAAGAGAGGAGGAGGAGGGGGAUUGAUAAGGAGUACGAUGUGGUUUUGGUGCCAUCUGAUGAUGUUUGUUUAUCAGGUUCUGAAUCCGAUGAUUCUGACUGGUCAAUUGGGUGGCUGGAACCACACGCCCCUGAUUUCCAGAGUGAUGAUGAGGCAGACAAUAGUUUUGCUGUGCUGGUUCCUUGCUAUAGGGAUGACUGUAAGGCUUUAGUUGUCGAAGAGCCGAGCAAUCAGUUCUUGAGUGCCAUUAAGAGCCUCUCCAAUGAGUACUCUCCUGAGUUAUCCUUGCGAGCUUUCCAUUGUUUGUAUUGAACCGAUGAGGCCUCAGCCAACUAUGUUGAGGAGGAGGUCCCGUGACUAAGAGAUCAAAGAAGGCAAGAAAUACAUGGAGCAGUGGCUUUCCUCACUCCAGAAAUUUUGAGGUCGUUGCUUCAUCCUCCUCUGUACUUGAUUAGAAUCAUUCACGGUCUUCUGCAUCAGCAUCUAGUAAUUGCGGAAGAACCAGCAUUUCUCCUGCACGAGAUGAGAUCAAGUCCAUUUUUUUUCUAUUUCGUUUAGAGAGCACGCAUGUCGACUUGCAGCUGAAGUUAUUCAGUACGCUUGCAUCGUUUCAGGUUUGCCGUAGAAAGUAAGACCAUCCUUCUGACAUUUUAGUGUAAAUAUUGCACCUGUGAAUAUGUGGAAAGUAUCUUGACUGCUGCUGUAGUGGUGUUGUAAUAUAAGCUUUCCUUCUCCCAAUCCCUGACUACUCUAGUGAACCACCACCAUUGUCAAUACCUUUUAUAUUAUUGAUAAAUGAUAGACUAUUGUCACUGCUACUCUCUA
RNA transcript from Ipomoea triloba (trilobed morning glory), 1781 nucleotides. RefSeq lists it as uncharacterized. The transcript has 3 exons. NCBI's taxonomy places the organism in Eukaryota, Viridiplantae, Streptophyta, Magnoliopsida, Solanales, Convolvulaceae. The record is from RefSeq and is a predicted model, not a curated record.